CCUACGGGUGGCUGCAGUGGGGAAUAUUGGACAAUGGGCGAAAGCCUGAUCCAGCCAUGCCGCGUGUGUGAAGAAGGCCUUCGGGUUGUAAAGCACUUUCAGUGGGGAAGAAAGCCUUGGGGCUAAUACCCUCGAGGAAGGACAUCACCCACAGAAGAAGCACCGGCUAACUCCGUGCCAGCAGCCGCGGUAAUACGGAGGGUGCGAGCGUUAAUCGGAAUUACUGGGCGUAAAGCGCGCGUAGGCGGUCUGAUAAGCCGGUUGUGAAAGCCCCGGGCUCAACCUGGGAACGGCAUCCGGAACUGUCAGGCUAGAGUGCAGGAGAGGAAGGUAGAAUUCCCGGUGUAGCGGUGAAAUGCGUAGAGAUCGGGAGGAAUACCAGUGGCGAAGGCGGCCUUCUGGACUGACACUGGCGCUGAGGUGCGAAAGCGUGGGUAGCAAACAGGAUUAGAUACCCCAGUAGUC
Molecule: ribosomal RNA, 465 nt
Filed under: Vreelandella stevensii
Lineage: Bacteria; Pseudomonadati; Pseudomonadota; Gammaproteobacteria; Oceanospirillales; Halomonadaceae
Description: partial 16S ribosomal RNA
Rfam family: Bacterial small subunit ribosomal RNA
Source: RNAcentral